Molecule: ribosomal RNA, 466 nt
Filed under: uncultured bacterium
Lineage: Bacteria
Description: partial 16S ribosomal RNA
Rfam family: Bacterial small subunit ribosomal RNA
Source: RNAcentral
GAUGAACGCUGGCGGCGUGCUUAACACAUGCAAGUCGAACGGAAAGGCCCAAGCUUGCUUGGGUGCUCGAGUGGCGAACGGGUGAGUAACACGUGGGUGAUCUGCCCUGCACUUUGGGAUAAGCCUGGGAAACUGGGUCUAAUACCGGAUAGGACCAUCGUUUAGUGUCGGUGGUGGAAAGUUUUUCGGUGUGGGAUGAGCUCGCGGCCUAUCAGCUUGUUGGUGGGGUAAUGGCCUACCAAGGCGUCGACGGGUAGCCGGCCUGAGAGGGUGUACGGCCACAUUGGGACUGAGAUACGGCCCAGACUCCGACGGGAGGCAGCAGUGGGGAAUAUUGCACAAUGGGCGCAAGCCUGAUGCAGCGACGCCGCGGGGGGGAGGACGGCCUUCGGGUUGUAAACUCCUUUCGCCAAGGACGAAGCGUUUUGUGACGGUACUUGGAGAAGAAGCACCGGCUAACUACGUG